GGGAGCCUGAGAAACGGCUACCACAUCCAAGGAUGGCAGCAGGCGCGCAAAUUACCCAAUCCCGACACGGGGAGGUAGUGACAAUAAAUAACAAUACGGGGUUCUUUAGGAUCUCGUAAUUGGAAUGAGUACAAUUUAAAUCUCUUAACGAGGAACAAUUGGAGGGCAAGUCUGGUGCCAGCAGCCGCGGUAAUUCCAGCUCCAAUAGCGUAUAUUAAAGUUGUUGCAGUUAAAAAGCUCGUAGUUGAAUUUCGGGGUUAGUAGGUUGGUCAUGCCUCUGGUAUGUACUGAUCUCACUGAUUCCUCCUUCCUUAUGAACCGUAAUGCCAUUAAUUUGGUGUUGCGGGGAAUUUGGACUGUUACUUUGAAAAAAUUAGAGUGUUUAAAGCAGGCUAACGCUUGAAUACAUUAGCAUGGAAUAAUGAAAUAGGACGUUCGAUCUUAUUUUGUUGGUUUCUAGGAUUGACGUAAUGAUUAAUAGGGAUAGUUGGGGGCAUUAGUAUUCAAUUGUCUGAGGUGAAAUUCUUGGAUUUAUUGAAGACUAACUACUGCGAAAGCAUUUGCCAAGGAUGUUUUCAUUAAUCAAGGACGAAAGUUAGGGGAUCGAAGACGAUCAGAUACCGUCGUAGUCUUAACCAUAAACUAUGCCGACUAGGGAUCGGAUGAUGUUAAUUUUUUAAUGACUCAUUCGGCGCCUUACGGGAAA
RNAcentral lists this ribosomal RNA (706 nucleotides) under uncultured fungus. RNAcentral describes it as "SSU rRNA". It matches the Rfam family "Eukaryotic small subunit ribosomal RNA", at positions 390 to 1097 of the family's 1831-position model. Lineage: Eukaryota; Fungi. The record is from RNAcentral.